GAAGAGAAAAAGAGACAGAAAGAGAAAGAGAGACAGAGAGAGAGAGAGUUCCUUCUCUUCCUUCCCUUCCCCCCUUGGACCAGGAUGAACCCAUCAGAACCACAGUGUGUCUCAGGACGUCCUGGUCUCUGUAGACGGUGCAGACGUAGCGUCCACCGUCUCCGUCUCUGGGGUUCCUCAGGGUCAGGCUGACGUCUCCGGUCCUCAGGAAAUCUUUCUUCAUCUCUGUUCGGUCGCGGAAGGUGGGAUGAUGUUGUGCAGGGCAGGACGACAGAACCUGACCCUUCAGUGACCUUGACCUCCUGCUGAUCAACUGAGAGGAAAUAAAGAAGAAAAUGAGCAGAAACAGUUUGGAUCAUUUUC
Gambusia affinis (western mosquitofish) is the source of this 363-nucleotide long non-coding RNA. RefSeq lists it as uncharacterized. The transcript has 3 exons. Lineage: Eukaryota; Metazoa; Chordata; Actinopteri; Cyprinodontiformes; Poeciliidae. The record is from RefSeq and is a predicted model, not a curated record.